CUGGUACAUCAUCAAAUCAUCAAAGUUUUCAUUUAAUUUUACAGUUGGUCAUACAGUAUAAUUAGUUGUUUAAAAUGACAGUCACGUGCUUCUGCUGCACAGACUAUAUGCAGUUGCACUCGUUGAAGGACCCUGAAUGAAGGUGCGCAUCAGAUUAAUCUGGAUUGCAUGCUCAAUUGCACAUACGCUGUGCAACAGAGACACGCUUCGGUCAUUUUUCACACCUAUUUAUGCUGUAUUUACCAACUGUAAAAUCAAAAGGAAAACAUGAUGAUGUACCGGUCUCCGUAAUCUUUGUACUUGUUUGAAAUUUAUAAUCCUGAUAAUAUUCAGAAUCCAGAAAAGUGAACCUGGUGUUACCCAUCAGAAGAAUUAACAGCGGGAUCGCUAAUGCUAAGCAAUCAUCAAUGUCUGUUAUCACUUGAUUCGCUUAGCGUAACUGGAAUAUACCGAGAGCUAUCACGGUACCCCCUGGAGAAAUUUAUCCUUCCCUAUAUAUUCACGUUAUAUAUAUAUAUAUAUAUAUAUAUAUAUAUAUAUAUAUAUAUA
Long non-coding RNA from Octopus sinensis (East Asian common octopus), 549 nucleotides. RefSeq lists it as uncharacterized. The record is from RefSeq and is a predicted model, not a curated record. Lineage: Eukaryota; Metazoa; Mollusca; Cephalopoda; Octopoda; Octopodidae. The transcript is spliced from 2 exons.